RNAcentral lists this unclassified non-coding RNA (370 nucleotides) under uncultured Pseudomonadota bacterium. RNAcentral's name for it is "uncultured proteobacterium contains 16S-23S intergenic spacer region". The record is from RNAcentral. Lineage: Bacteria; Pseudomonadati; Pseudomonadota.
UCCGGUUUGUCACCGGCAGUCUCCCUAGAGUGCCCUUGCGUAGCAACUAGUGACAAGGGUUGCGCUCGUUACGGGACUUAACCCAACAUCUCACGACACGAGCUGACGACAGCCAUGCAGCACCUGUCACUCGGUUCCCGAAGGCACCCGCCCAUCUCUGGGCAGUUCCGAGGAUGUCAAGGCCAGGUAAGGUUUUUCGCGUUGCAUCGAAUUGAACCACAUGCUCCACCGCUUGUGUGGGCCCCCGUCAAUUCCUUUGAGUUUUAAUCUUGCGACCGUACUCCCCAGGCGGAAUGCUUAAAGCGUUAGCUGCGCCACUAGUGAGUAAACCCACUAACGGCUGGCAUUCAUCGUUUACGGCGUGGACUAC